RNAcentral lists this ribosomal RNA (1375 nucleotides) under uncultured bacterium. Its description in RNAcentral is "bacterial SSU rRNA". It matches the Rfam family "Bacterial small subunit ribosomal RNA". The record is from RNAcentral.
AGAGUUUGAUCCUGGCUCAGGACGAACGCUGGCGGCGUGCCUAAUACAUGCAAGUAGAACGCUGACUACUUUAGCUUGCUAGAGUAGAAGGAGUUGCGAACGGGUGAGUAACGCGUAGGUAACCUGCCUACUAGCGGGGGAUAACUAUUGGAAACGAUAGCUAAUACCGCAUAACAGUGUUUAACACAUGUUAGAUGCUUGAAAGAUGCAAAUGCAUCACUAGUAGAUGGACCUGCGUUGUAUUAGCUAGUUGGUGGGGUAACGGCCUACCAAGGCGACGAUACAUAGCCGACCUGAGAGGGUGAUCGGCCACACUGGGACUGAGACACGGCCCAGACUCCUACGGGAGGCAGCAGUGGGGAAUAUUGCACAAUGGGGGAAACCCUGAUGCAGCGACGCCGCGUGGAGGAAGAAGGUCUUCGGAUUGUAAACUCCUGUUGUUGAGGAAAAUCGAGAUGGUACUCAACAAGGAAGUGACGGCUAACUACGUGCCAGCAGCCGCGGUAAAACGUAGGUCACAAGCGUUGUCCGGAAUUACUGGGUGUAAAGGGAGCGCAGGCGGGUAUGCAAGUUGGAAGUGAAAUACAUGGGCUCAACCCAUGAACUGCUUUCAAAACUGUGUAUCUUGAGUAGUGCAGAGGUAGGCGGAAUUCCCGGUGUAGCGGUGGGAUGCGUAGAUAUCGGGAGGAACACCAGUGGCGAAGGCGGCCUACUGGGCACCAACUGACGCUGAGGCUCGAAAGUGUGGGUAGCAAACAGGAUUAGAUACCCUGGUAGUCCACACCGUAAACGAUGAUUACUAGGUGUUGGAGGAUAGACCCCUUCAGUUCCGCAGUUAACACAAUAAGUAAUCCACCUGGGGAGUACGACCGCAAGGUUGAAACUCAAAGGAAUUGACGGGGGCCCGCACAAGCAGUGGAGUGUGUGGUUUAAUUCGACGCAACGCGAAGAACCUUACCAAGUCUUGACAUCCUGCGACGAUGCUGGAAACAGUAUUUUCCUUCGGGACGCAGAGACAGGUGGUGCAUGGUUGUCGUCAGCUCGUGUCGUGAGAUGUUGGGUUAAGUCCCGCAACGAGCGCAACCCUUAUGGAUAGUUACUACGCAAGAGGACUCUAUUCAGACUGCCGUUGACAAAACGGAGGAAGGUGGGGAUGACGUCAAAUCAUCAUGCCCUUUAUGACUUGGGCUACACACGUACUACAAUGGCGUUAAACAAAGAGAAGCGAAGUCGCGAGGCAGAGCAAAACUCAAAAGCAACGUCCCAGUUCAGAUUGCAGGCUGCAACUCGCUUGCAUGAAGUCGGAAUUGCUAGUAAUCGCAGAUCAGCAUGCUGCGGUGAAUACGUUCCCGGGCCUUGUACUCACCGCCCGUCA